RNAcentral lists this non-coding RNA (48 nucleotides) under Brevundimonas sp. RNAcentral's name for it is "Guanidine-II sequence". It matches the Rfam family "Guanidine-II riboswitch aptamer (mini-ykkC)". From Rfam's summary of the family: Simpler in structure and has fewer highly conserved nucleotide positions than the ykkC-yxkD leader. Despite this each of its two stem-loop structures directly bind free guanidine. Therefore, mini-ykkC RNA motif represents a distinct class of guanidine-sensing RNAs. Lineage: Bacteria; Pseudomonadati; Pseudomonadota; Alphaproteobacteria; Caulobacterales; Caulobacteraceae. The record is from RNAcentral.
UCAGGAGGACGACCUCCCCCACAUGGGGCCAACGCCGGGACGACCCGA